The sequence is a ribosomal RNA, 1079 nucleotides long. It matches the Rfam family "Bacterial small subunit ribosomal RNA", at positions 54 to 1144 of the family's 1533-position model.
CAUGCAGUCGAACGAUGAAGCCCAGCUUGCUGGGUGGAUUAGUGGCGAACGGGUGAGUAACACGUGAGUAACCUGCCCUUAACUCUGGGAUAAGCCUGGGAAACUGGGUCUAAUACCGGAUAGGAGCGCCCACCGCAUGGUGGGUGUUGGAAAGAUUUAUCGGUUUUGGAUGGACUCGCGGCCUAUCAGCUUGUUGGUGAGGUAAUGGCUCACCAAGGCGACGACGGGUAGCCGGCCUGAGAGGGUGACCGGCCACACUGGGACUGAGACACGGCCCAGACUCCUACGGGAGGCAGCAGUGGGGAAUAUUGCACAAUGGGCGCAAGCCUGAUGCAGCGACGCCGCGUGAGGGAUGACGGCCUUCGGGUUGUAAACCUCUUUCAGUAGGGAAGAAGCGAAAGUGACGGUACCUGCAGAAGAAGCACCGGCUAACUACGUGCCAGCAGCCGCGGUAAUACGUAGGGUGCGAGCGUUAUCCGGAAUUAUUGGGCGUAAAGAGCUCGUAGGCGGUUUGUCGCGUCUGUCGUGAAAGUCCGGGGCUUAACCCCGGAUCUGCGGUGGGUACGGGCAGACUAGAGUGCAGUAGGGGAGACUGGAAUUCCUGGUGUAGCGGUGGAAUGCGCAGAUAUCAGGAGGAACACCGAUGGCGAAGGCAGGUCUCUGGGCUGUAACUGACGCUGAGGAGCGAAAGCAUGGGGAGCGAACAGGAUUAGAUACCCUGGUAGUCCAUGCCGUAAACGUUGGGCACUAGGUGUGGGGACCAUUCCACGGUUUCCGCGCCGCAGCUAACGCAUUAAGUGCCCCGCCUGGGGAGUACGGCCGCAAGGCUAAAACUCAAAGGAAUUGACGGGGGCCCGCACAAGCGGCGGAGCAUGCGGAUUAAUUCGAUGCAACGCGAAGAACCUUACCAAGGCUUGACAUGUUCUCGAUCGCCGUAGAGAUACGGUUUCCCCUUUGGGGCGGGUUCACAGGUGGUGCAUGGUUGUCGUCAGCUCGUGUCGUGAGAUGUUGGGUUAAGUCCCGCAACGAGCGCAACCNUCGUUCCAUGUUGCCAGCACGUAAUGGUGGGGGACUCAUGG